AUUGAACGCUGGCGGCAGGCCUAACACAUGCAAGUCGAGCGAGCGGCGGACGGGUGAUGAAUAUCUGGGAAACUGCCUGUGGGAGGGGGCGAACGACUGGAAACGGUAGCUAAUACCGCAUCCCAUCAGAUGUGCCCAGAUGGGAUUAGCUGGUGGGUGGGGUAACGGCUCACCUAGGCGACGAUCCCUAGCUGGUCUGAGAGGAUGACCAGCCACACUGGAACUGAGACACGGUCCAGACUCCUACGGGAGGCAGCAGUGGGGAAUAUUGCACAAUGGGCGCAAGCCUGAUGCAGCCAUGCCGCGUGUGUGAAGAAGGCCUUCGGGUUGUAAAGCACUUUCAGCGGGGAGGCGUUACCCGCAGAAGAAGCACCGGCUAACUCCGUGCCAGCAGCCGCGGUAAUAC
RNAcentral lists this ribosomal RNA (406 nucleotides) under uncultured bacterium. RNAcentral's name for it is "partial 16S ribosomal RNA". It matches the Rfam family "Bacterial small subunit ribosomal RNA", at positions 29 to 526 of the family's 1533-position model. The record is from RNAcentral.